This 275-nucleotide ribosomal RNA is filed under the name uncultured bacterium. RNAcentral describes it as "partial 16S ribosomal RNA". It matches the Rfam family "Bacterial small subunit ribosomal RNA", at positions 80 to 354 of the family's 1533-position model. The record is from RNAcentral.
CUUCUCCGCCGGCGACCGGCGCACGGGUGAGUAACACGUAUGCAACCUGCCCUUGUCAGGGGGACAACCCGCCGAAAGGCGGGCUAAACCCGCGUACAUGCCACCGGGGCAUCCCGGAGGCAGGAAAGGCUUCGGCCGGACAGGGAUGGGCAUGCGGCGCAUUAGGCAGUAGGCGGGGUAACGGCCCACCUAACCGACGAUGCGUAGGGGUUCUGAGAGGAAGGUCCCCCACACUGGUACUGAGACACGGACCAGACUCCUACGGGAGGCAGCAG